Molecule: small nucleolar RNA, 82 nt
Organism: Magnolia sinica
Lineage: Eukaryota; Viridiplantae; Streptophyta; Magnoliopsida; Magnoliales; Magnoliaceae
Product: small nucleolar RNA snoR53Y
Exons: 1
Source: RefSeq, a predicted model, not a curated record
GUUCCCGAUGAUGGAUAUAUCAAUACCAUGCUAAUGCUGAGAUAUAUGAUUAAAUCCUUCUCUUUGAUCUUCUGAGGGAAUU